CAUGUCCUUUUGAAAAUGAUUUAAGGUCUAAUCUGCUCAAUGUUUAAUAAAUAGCCGCAGUAUUCUAACUGUGCGAAGGUAGCAUAAUAAUUAGUUCUUUAAUUGGGAACUGGAAUGAAUGAUUGGACGAGAAAAUUACUGUCUCUUUAUAAAAUAUUUUUGAAUUUUAUUUUUGAGUUAAAAAGCUCAAAUUUAUUUAAAAGACGAGAAGACCCUAUAGAGUUUAAUAUUAAAAUUAUAUUUAAGUUUAGUAAUAUUUUUUAAUUUUUUUAUUUGGUUGGGGUGACUUGGAAAUUGAAUAAAUUUUCUUAAUUUGUAGUUAUGGAUUUAUAAUUUUCUUAUCUUUAAUAUUAAAAUUAAUAUAAAUUACCUUAGGGAUAACAGCGUAAUUUUUCUUUAAAGUUCUUAUUGAAAGGAAAUUUUGCGACCUCGAUGUUGGAUUAAAAUUAAUUUUAGGUGCAGUUGCUUAAAAAUUAGGUCUGUUCGACCUUUAAAAUUUUACAUGAUCUGAGUUUAGACCGGCGUGAGCCAGGUUGGAUUCUAUCUUUAAAUAAUUAUUAUAUUUUAGUACGAAAGGACCAUAUAUGAAUUUGAUAAAAUUG
Molecule: ribosomal RNA, 602 nt
Filed under: Lycoprogenthes sp. UPOL A00626
Lineage: Eukaryota; Metazoa; Arthropoda; Insecta; Coleoptera; Lycidae
Description: partial 16S ribosomal RNA
Rfam family: Bacterial large subunit ribosomal RNA
Source: RNAcentral